GCCUCUUGCUCCAAAUAUAAGAGGUCCAGCCUGCCCAGUGACAUAGUUUAACGGCCGCGGUACCCUAACCGUGCGAAGGUAGCAUAAUCACUUGUUCUUUAAAUAAGGACUCGUAUCAACGGCAUCACGAGGGCUGUACUGUCUCCUUUCUCCAAUCAGUGAAACUGAUCUCCCCGUGAAGAAGCGGGGAUUGACCUAUAAGACGAGAAGACCCCAUGGAGCUUUAAACCCAACACACACCUCUACUCACUCAAAUCAACAUAACCCAAGAGACUUAUGUGUUGGUUUUAGGUUGGGGGGACCGCGGAGUAAAAUCAAACCUCCAUGACAGACGGACUAACACCCUUAUCCAUGAACCACAAUUCUAAGAGCCAAUAAAUUGUUGUCUAAUGACCCAAUUACUUGAUCAACGAACCAAGUUACCCUGGGGAUAACAGCGCAAUCUACUUCAAGAGCCCCUAUCGACAAGUAGGUUUACGACCUCGAUGUUGGAUCAGGGUAUCCUAGUGGUGCAGCCGCUACUAAAGGUUCGUUUGUUCAACGAUUAAAACCCUACGUGAUCUGAGUUCAGACCGGA
RNAcentral lists this ribosomal RNA (577 nucleotides) under Amolops mantzorum (Kangting sucker frog). Its description in RNAcentral is "partial 16S ribosomal RNA". It matches the Rfam family "Bacterial large subunit ribosomal RNA", at positions 1818 to 2620 of the family's 2925-position model. The record is from RNAcentral. Lineage: Eukaryota; Metazoa; Chordata; Amphibia; Anura; Ranidae.